GCCAGCUAAGGUCCCAAAGUCAUGGUUAAGUGGGAAACGAUGUGGGAAGGCCCAGACAGCCAGGAUGUUGGCUUAGAAGCAGCCAUCAUUUAAAGAAAGCGUAAUAGCUCACUGGUCGAGUCGGCCUGCGCGGAAGAUGUAACGGGGCUAAACCAUGCACCGAAGCUGCGGCAGCGAACGUAUCACUUAAAGCGAUUCAGCGGGUUACGAUUGACGGAGCGAAGCGACGUCAAAGCGUAUACAAAGUCGAGUCGGUUUAAGGAUACGUUCGUUGGGUAGGGGAGCGUUCUGUAAGCCUGUGAAGGUGUGUCGUGAGGCAUGCUGGAGGUAUCAGAAGUGCGAAUGCUGACAUAAGUAACGAUAAAGCGGGUGAAAAGCCCGCUCGCCGGAAGACCAAGGGUUCCUGUCCAACGUUAAUCGGGGCAGGGUGAGUCGACCCCUAAGGCGAGGCCGAAAGGCGUAGUCGAUGGGAAACGGGUUAAUAUUCCCGUACUUGGUGUUACUGCGAAGGGGGGACGGAGAAGGCUAUGUUGGCCGGGCGACGGUUGUCCCGGUUUAAGCGUGUAGGCUGGUUUUCCAGGCAAAUCCGGAAAAUCAAGGCUGAGGCGUGAUGACGAGGCACUACGGUGCUGAAGCAACAAAUGCCCUGCUUCCAGGAAAAGCCUCUAAGCAUCAGGUAACAUCAAAUCGUACCCCAAACCGACACAGGUGGUCAGGUAGAGAAUACCAAGGCGCUUGAGAGAACUCGGGUGAAGGAACUAGGCAAAAUGGUGCCGUAACUUCGGGAGAAGGCACGCUGACAYGUAGGUGAAGUGAUUUACUCAUGGAGCUGAAGUCAGUCGAAGAUACCAGCUGGCUGCAACUGUUUAUUAAAAACACAGCACUGUGCAAACACGAAAGUGGACGUAUACGGUGUGACGCCUGCCCGGUGCCGGAAGGUUAAUUGAUGGGGUCAGCGCAAGCGAAGCUCCUGAUCGAAGCCCCGGUAAACGGCGGCCGUAACUAUAACGGUCCUAAGGUAGCGAAAUUCCUUGUCGGGUAAGUUCCGACCUGCACGAAUGGCGUAAUGAUGGCCAGGCUGUCUCCACCCGAGACUCAGUGAAAUUGAACUCGCUGUGAAGAUGCAGUGUACCCGCGGCAAGACGGAAAGACCCCGUGAACCUUUACUAUAGCUUGACACUGAACAUUGAGCCUUGAUGUGUAGGAUAGGUGGGAGGCUUUGAAGCGUGGACGCCAGUCUGCGUGGAGCCGACCUUGAAAUACCACCCUUUAAUGUUUGAUGUUCUAACGUGGACCCGU
Molecule: ribosomal RNA, 1299 nt
Filed under: Salmonella enterica subsp. enterica serovar Infantis
Lineage: Bacteria; Pseudomonadati; Pseudomonadota; Gammaproteobacteria; Enterobacterales; Enterobacteriaceae
Description: bacterial LSU rRNA
Source: RNAcentral